AAAGUACUCCCUCCGUCCCAAAAUUCUUGUCUUAGAUUUGUCUAGAUAAGGAUGUAUCAAGUCACAUUUUAGUAUUAGAUACAUCCGUAUCUAGACAAAUCUAAGACAAGAAAUUUGGGACAGAGGGAGUAGUUG
Triticum aestivum (bread wheat) is the source of this 135-nucleotide non-coding RNA. NCBI's taxonomy places the organism in Eukaryota, Viridiplantae, Streptophyta, Magnoliopsida, Poales, Poaceae. The record is from Rfam.